RNAcentral lists this long non-coding RNA (1232 nucleotides) under Bos indicus x Bos taurus (hybrid cattle). Its description in RNAcentral is "lncRNA (ENSBIXG00005031256.1)". Lineage: Eukaryota; Metazoa; Chordata; Mammalia; Artiodactyla; Bovidae. The record is from RNAcentral.
CCAGCAAUCCCAUUGCUGAGCAGUAGUCGGAACAUACAAGAAUUUGAAUGGAUACAUACACCCCAGUGGUCACUGCACCGCUACUGACAAUAGCUGAAAGAUAAAAGCAAGCUAAACUCAGAGGAAGGGGCACAGAAGACAGUGCAUAUACACAGGAAUUAAGAAAAUGAAUGCAAUACUGCCAUGGGCAGAAAAAUGAAUGGCCCUGCAGCUUAUCGUACAACUGUAAUAAGACAAAGAAUGACGGUUAGGCAAUGAUAUCACUGAUGCCUGCAAUCCCAAAAUGGACACAAAUGAACUCUUUACAAAACAGAGAGAGACCCGCAGAAUUGAAAAAGAAACUUAUUAAAAAAGAAAGGUAAGAAGACAUGGAUAAACUAGCAAGUUGGGAUUAACCCGUAUACAGUAAUAUAUUUAAACUGGAUAAUCAAAAUGGACCUACUGCACAGCACGGGGAAGCCCAUUCUAUAUACUAUAGUAAUAUGCAUGGGAAAGAACAUGAAAAAAUAUAUGCAGAUGUGUAACCAAAUCAGGUUGGUAUACACCGAAAAAGAAACAUACGGAAAGUCUUCUGUGUUCCCAUAGAAAAUAAAAAAAAUGAGAAAAUGCCAAUGAUAUUUCCCUCAGGUCUCAGGCACCUGGCGAGGUGACACAUUUCUGGAGCUUGAACAGCCUUGUGUCCCAGGGCUGGACAGGGUGGAGCAGAGGCGGUGCCAGCACGUAAGCCCCACUGCAAACCGAGCACCUGGUUCCCUGUGAGGAUCCCACAUCUCCAGACCCACACGGGCCCUCCUACGGCUCAGCCAAGCCCAGUGCACUGCAGUGACGUGGACCCUGUCAGCUGGAAAACCUUUGAAAAGACCCCUGCUCUCCGAGUCUCCUGUUGGUGGGGUCCCCAGAGGCAGCCCCCUUCUUGGAGGCACCUCUCCUCCCUGUGGCCGCUCCCUUUGCAUAGUGGUGUAGACAGGGCUUGGGACUUGUCUGGAGCUUGAACUGUAAGUUGGAAGAAGUAAUGAGACAGGAGCUCUGGAUGGCUUCUUCUGGGAUAUUCCAUUCUAAUCUAGGACUCAGUAACAGGAAUUCUCUUUAGCUUUCCUUGCCUGAGCCACCUGAGUGGGGGGUGGUGGAAAUCAGAAAAUGCUGCCGCCUUGUGGCCAUUCCCCGGAACAACAGCUGUAAACCUGGUGCUUCUGGGUACCACAUACUCAAAAGGCCUGAGGUGUAAAAACCCC